AUUGAACGCUGGCGGCAUGCCUUACACAUGCAAGUCGAACGGUAGAGUAGCAAUACUUGAGAGUGGCGAACGGGUGAGUAAUAUAUCGGAACGUGCCCAGUCGUGGGGGAUAACGUAGAGAAAUUUACGCUAAUACCGCAUACGAUCUAAGGAUGAAAGCGGGGGAUUCGCAAGAACCUCGCGCGAUUGGAGCGGCUGAUAUCAGAUUAGGUUGUUGGUGAGGUAAAAGCUCACCAAGCCGACGAUCUGUAGCUGGUUUGAGAGAACGACCAGCCACACUGGGACUGAGACACGGCCCAGACUCCUACGGGAGGCAGCAGUGGGGAAUUUUUGGACAAUGGGCGAAAGCCUGAUCCAGCAAUGCCGCGUGCAGGAAGAAGGCCU
This 384-nucleotide ribosomal RNA is filed under the name uncultured bacterium. Its description in RNAcentral is "bacterial SSU rRNA". It matches the Rfam family "Bacterial small subunit ribosomal RNA", at positions 30 to 417 of the family's 1533-position model. The record is from RNAcentral.